RNAcentral lists this long non-coding RNA (1638 nucleotides) under Homo sapiens (human). Its description in RNAcentral is "HSALNT0177013". Lineage: Eukaryota; Metazoa; Chordata; Mammalia; Primates; Hominidae. The record is from RNAcentral.
UCCAGCCAGAGUGAUGGAGCUGGUUGCUAUGGCAACUGCAUCUGUUUACAGGACCCACAGAUCUCAGAGUCCAUUAACCCUUUGCCUUCCCAGCCCCCUCCCUGACCAAGCAGCAGUUGGCUCUCAUCAGCCCCCAGAGACCUAGCCCCCACCACCGGCUCACCUUGGGUUUCCCUACCCCUCCUGUUGGGGGCUUCCCAGCCCCCCAGGUUUCCUCUCCAUUUUCCAGCUUCCCUCCUCUUCCUGUCCCCCUUCCCCUUUGUCUCUCACAUACCCCUUGGUCUGUCCCUCGCCCUGGCCUAGCCUCACACCUGGUUCUUCAAAAUGUCCAUUCCUCAUCCUGCAUCCGACCCAUCGCUUCCCCCAGGCUCCCUCCUCCUCCCCUCCCGCUCCUCUCCUCCAGGGCCUCCUCUGCCUGGCUCCCGUCCCCUCACUACAGAACUAUCAAUCAGCCUCCAGCUGGUUGUUGGGGGCCCCUGGCCCCACUUUACUGCCCUCCGUCCCCACCCCCACCCAAACCCCGUGCCUGUUUCUGUAACAGCCUGCCCAGCUCGGCCCUGGCUGGCUCAGCUCAGCAUCCUCUGCUCACACCUCCCGCGCACACCUCCCUGAUUGUCAUUCCCUUUCAGGGGUCCUCUUAUCCCUCCCUCAAUCCCAUUUCCCAUAGCCCUUCCCUCCUUCCUCCCGGUGCCUCACCUGCUUCUUUCCCGGGCUCUCCACUUCCUCUCUCCUUUCUCUUCCUGGGACCUGCCGCCUGCUCCAUGGUUCCCCCUGCGCUCCCUUUGCCAUCCCCUGCCACCUUGCUCUUUGACAUCGGGAAUCCAUAGACUGAACCCCUACUGUGUGAAGAGUGAGCCCCCAAAGGCACCUCAGCACACACCCCAGCUCCAGCCCUGUCACUCCUUGGCCUGGCUCUGCUCUCUCUCUGGGUCUUGGUUGCUUUGUCUUUCCCCCUCUCCCCCGCACCCCGAGUUACUCUAUUUUUCUUUCUGUGGGGUAGGGGCAGGAGGGCUAGGGUUCUAAGGACUGGAGGGAGCUGGGGGCCACAGGCUAGGGAAUGCAGAGCUGACCAGCUCCUGGGAGAAGGGCUCCUGGAAUUCAAGAAGCCUCUUUUUGGGGCCUUCCCCACCCAGGGCCUUCCCACAGCCCCUGUGGGGUCCCUGUCCUCAGGGGAUCCUCAGCAGUUUAUCCACCACGCCUGCAUUGAUGCUUCCCAAAGAUCAGGCUCUGGGUGGCUUUGAGGGGGUCAAGGAUGAAUAAAACCCAGACUUUGCCCUUGUGGAGUGCCCAGGCUGGGAGGAAAGGCCCAAGCUUUGAAGAAAUGUCUUUGUUCAUUCAACAGAUAUUGAUUGAGCACCUGUGUGAGGUACUCUGUCCACUCAGCCAUUUAGCUGGACAAUCUUAGCAAGUCAUUUGUCCCAAGUCUGGUUCCUCGCCGGCAAAGUGGACCUGUGCACAUCAGAGUGCCUAGUGCGGCCUGCUGGGUGGUAGGGGAUAGGAGGCGUGGUCCUCAGUCCACAGCUGCUAAGAACUAGACUCUUAACAGGGCGGGACCCCAGAUCCCACUCCAGACCCUCAGCCCAGGCCCCAGUGGUUCCUAGGCAACCCUGGCGGUGAGUGACGCGUGUCAGCUGUCAC